This is a long non-coding RNA of Girardinichthys multiradiatus, 702 nucleotides long. RefSeq lists it as uncharacterized. The record is from RefSeq and is a predicted model, not a curated record. Lineage: Eukaryota; Metazoa; Chordata; Actinopteri; Cyprinodontiformes; Goodeidae. The transcript has 2 exons.
UUGAAGCUCGAUAGUAUCUACUUUUUACUAUGUGUAGACUAUUGUUGUUGUAAAUUGAGAUUUUUAUUGUGUGGUAAUUCAGUGUGUACAACGCAAGUCUAUUAGUACUUUGUACACGUAAAUGUCCGCAUGGCGCACUCUGAAAAUUUUGUUUUGUCAGGAGGAGCAGAUAAGUCUGCAUGAGCUCCACUAUCCAACCAGUGUACAGUGGGGACACAAUGCAGCACUGGGAAAAGACAGUUCACUGGAAAGUCAGAAGAUUUCCCACCACUCAUUUCCAGCAUGUCUGCAACCAAAGCACUGCAUGGUAGUGGGAGGACUGUGAUGUGGGCCUGUGUUUGUAGUCAGACAGGAAGUGUCACUGGCAGUACCACCAGGACUCUGAAAUGUGAAGGGACUGAGUCCACAGUGGGGAGAACAAGUAUUUGAUUCACUGCAGAUUUUGCAGAUUUUCCCACUUGCAAAGCAUGUAGAAGUCUUUAAUUAUUCUUUAAUUAUUAUCAUAUGUACUCUUCAACUGUGAGAUGAAGAAAAACGCUUGCACAAUUUUUUUUAAAUAUUAGCUUGUUCAAUGACAAAUACUCCAUUAUUUUUCUAUAAAUAUGUUCCAUUCUGUUCAAACUUUAUAUUUAAAAUCCAAAAUAAUUUCUUUAUGUACACCUGCACUGUUUUUCUUUCAUUAAAACCAUAAAAUCAAAUUUC